UAGGGAAUCUUCGGCAAUGGACGAAAGUCUGACCGAGCAACGCCGCGUGAGUGAAGAAGGUUUACGGAUCGUAAAACUCUGUUGUUAGAGAAGAACAAGGACGUUAGUAACUGAACGUCCCCUGACGGUAUCUAACCAGAAAGCCACGGCUAACUACGUGCCAGCAGCCGCGGUAAUACGUAGGUGGCAAGCGUUGUCCGGAUUUAUUGGGCGUAAAGCGAGCGCAGGCGGUUUCUUAAGUCUGAUGUGAAAGCCCCCGGCUCAACCGGGGAGGGUCAUUGGAAACUGGGAGACUUGAGUGCAGAAGAGGAGAGUGGAAUUCCAUGUGUAGCGGUGAAAUGCGUAGAUAUAUGGAGGAACACCAGUGGCGAAGGCGGCUCUCUGGUCUGUAACUGACGCUGAGGCUCGAAAGCGUGGGGAGCAGACAGG
RNAcentral lists this ribosomal RNA (429 nucleotides) under Gemmatimonadota bacterium. RNAcentral's name for it is "Gemmatimonadetes bacterium partial 16S ribosomal RNA". It matches the Rfam family "Bacterial small subunit ribosomal RNA", at positions 355 to 776 of the family's 1533-position model. Lineage: Bacteria; Pseudomonadati; Gemmatimonadota. The record is from RNAcentral.